CAGUAUCUACUCCUGUAUCCUACAGCCCUUUCCUGUCCCCUGUGUGACAACCCAACCCAUUCAGCUCUGCAAGCCCUCCCUGGGACACUGAUCUGUGAAUCCUCUGCAGAGAUCCUGAGGAAGAGAGUGAGGCAGGGGACCAGGCUGUACAGACUGCUCCAAGCUCUGAAAACAGGCUGGCCCAGGAAGUACAUACAUCCUUUUCCCUGUGAACUGAUUAACCAUGGCAUCCAUACACUCUGCCCCCGGAGUUCAGGACUCCUGUUUCCUAAACCUAAGCUGAUCUCAGCUGGAGCAAGGUGAGGAGCCAUGGAUCCCUGAUGCUCCCAGAUCUCCUGGACUGGGUCUCAUUCCAACCUUUUCUGCAGGUGACGUGCAUGAAGCCCCCAGCGCACCGAGGGAGAGCUGUGAGGUAGGAGCCCUUCAGGGACUCCUUUCCCCCGCCCUGCCCAGUGGGAUCGAGGCCUCUGGGGAGUCUGGUGAUAAGGUUUCCUACUGGCGUACCUUGGAGGACAAGAUGUUGCUUCCCUGUGUUGCCAUCAAACUUCCCUCACAACUACUUUCUCUCCCAGACCUGCCCAAGCCUUAUCUGUGACUGCAGUGCGGCAAGGGCUUCAGCCACCCCUCCAAACUCAACCUCCACAGACGCAGCCAUAGCGGGGAGAAGCCAGCGGAGCGUCUGCGGUGCAGCCUUAGCACUGACAGGCGCGUCCACACCCCUGGUGGGAAGCCCUAUAAAUGCCGGGAUUGUGGGACGUGCUUCAGCCAGAGCUCGCACUUCAUCAUCCACCAGAGGGCGCACGCGGGCGAGCGUCCCUACCGCGGCGCGGACUGUGACACGAGCUUCAGAAGCAGCCGCUCCUACCUCCUGACACACCGCAGGGUGCACACCGGCGAGAAGCCCUGCUGCUGCGAGGUGUGCGGCCAGACCUUCAGUCAGAAGACGAACCUCCUCACGCACUGGAAGCUGCACGGGGCGCACAGGCGGCCGGGGUGACAAUACCCCGCAGCCCGGCCAGGCUGGGGGCUGAAGCCUGAGAUUCCCAUGUGGGGUUGAGCCGGGGUGAUCCAUUUCCAAGCUUCAGCUGUGCUCAGUGGGACGUGUCAAGGCAAGAUGUGGGGCCACAGUAUGGAGUGGAGCAGCGGAGCUCAUGCCGAUUUUCUGUAGUGCGGUGACUAAGUGAGGUUUCUGGGACUCAGGCCUCUGCUUUUCUUGCCUCCUCAGAAUCUCUCCCGGGUGCUCUAUGGUGUGGGAAAUCAAUAAAUCCCGGGUUGCUGAGUCACCAGGGGAUUAUCUGGGAGAAGGCAUGAAGCAAAAGGAUAGCAGGUAGUAUGAGCUGGAAAAAAAACCCUUUUAGAGUUUUCUCAUUACCCUAACUUGGCUUGAUCCUAAGUCCCUGAGGGUCUCAUUGGAGCCUCUGGUCUACCUCAUGGUGAUGUUAAAGGUGGAGAAAGUGAUCCUCCUUCUUGUGUUUCCACCCUCAAAAUAACCUGAGCUGUGUAGCACCAGGGCCCUCAUUUACAUCAGUCCAUCAACUUGUUCUUUACUCACUCCACUCAAACCUUCAGUUUUUAAUUAAGAAGCCAGAAUAUUGGCUCUGCACCCGUAGCACAGUGGUUAUGGCGCCAGCCACAUACACCGAGGGUGGUGGGUUGGAACCUGGCCAGCUAAUCAACAAUGACAACUGCAACAGAAAAUGGCCGGGCGUUGUGGCGGGCGCCCGUAGUCUCAGCUACUUGGGAGGCUGAGGCAGGAGAAUUGCUUGAGGCCAGGAGUUUGAGGUUGCUAUGAGCUGUGACGCCAUGGCACUCUACCCAGGGCGACAUAGUGAGACUCUGUCUAAAAAAAAAAGCUGUAAUAUUCUGAACUUCAGUGAUAACAGAGGAUGUGAUUUUUUCAUAAUACUUUUUGUACUUUGCCCUUUCCUCACUGGUGGAAUUUCCUGCCCAGGUUUUCCACCUGGUCAUGGUGGGAGUCUGAGUAAUUUAGAAAGUAGAACAAAGCAAAACAAAAAGCACUUCUUGGCUUGGUGCCUGUAGUUCAGCGGCUAGGGUGCCAGACACAUACGCCAGAGCUGGCAAGUUCGAAUCCAGGCAGAGCCUGCCAAACAACAAUGACAAUUACAACCAAAAAAUAGUCUGGUGUUGUGGCGGGUGCCUGUAGUACCAGGUACUUGGGAAGCUGAGGCAAGAGAAUCGCUUAAGCCCAAGAGUUUGAGGUUGCUGUGAGCUGUUAUGUCAUCACAUUCUACCCAGGGCGAUAGCUUGAGACUUUGUCCCAAAGGAAAAAAAAAGCACUUCUUGUUGAGAAAGGAAAAUAACUUUUAUCUGAGAAAUGAUUUUUUUUUUUUUAAAUUAUCAGGUGUAUAGAGGUAUUAAAAUGAGAGCAAUCACAUCCAACUUCCCUUUGGCUUUGCAUUCAUCUCUUCAAACUGAUUCCUAUUGCUAGAAGUAGCUCUAAGUUAACCUGACAUUGCUGCACCAAACACUAUAACCCUUCCACUAUAACUUAACAAUGUAUGUAGCCAAUUAAUAAUCAAUGUCAUUUCUGUAAACCAAUGCAAAUACAAACAACUGUGUAUCAGCCCAUUCCCUGUUCCCCCUUUUUUGCCUUAAAAAACCUGCUUGUAACAAAGGCUGAAUGGAGCUCAUAUCCAAGGUUACUUUUAGGCAGCUAUCCUCAUUUGGCUUUAGGUAAACUCUUUAAGUUGUAUGUUGUACCUCUUCCUUUUAAAUUGACAUUGUUUUUCACUCAGGGUAGAAGUUACACACAGGAAAGAGUGAUGGUGAUGGGGGCUGUCACUGGCCUCAACUUCCUCUCAGUACUUAAUGUUUCCCACUUGAAGAGGCUUCAGAAACAUUAAGGUGUGGUAGAACAUCACCCUUCUCUCAGUCUCCCACCUGGAAAAUCAGACUUUUUGGAGAUGAAAGUUAUUCCCAAAUUCCAGGACUCACCUCCUAGUCAUUGAGACUGCCCAUCUGUUGUCUUGCACACCAGCUACUCCCUGUAGUAAGCUGCCUUUUCAUUGGAGGUAGAAAGUCAUUUUAACUGAUUGCUCAAGCCAGUGUUUUUAUUUUCAAAUAUGUUAUUUGGCUCAACCCCAACUUUCCUGUUCUAUAUUUGAGAUUAGCUUAAAGUUAUUGUUUCCAACAACUUCUACCUUGGCUUUCUAAUUCUCUUGGACUUUUUAGGAACCUACCAAUUUUCUUGGUAGAGAGGUCUUUUCCUGCAGCGGUGCUGUCAGGAUAUCAGAAUUGUUCUGCCAUCAUGUGGGCAGAGUGGGUGCAGGGAUCCUCAAACUGCAGCCCGUGGGCCACACGAGGCAGUCUGAUUGUAUUUGUUCUCAUUUUGUUUUUUUACUUCAAAAUAAGAUAUGUGCAGUGUGCAUAGGAAUUUGUUCAUAGUUGUUUUUUUUUUUAAACUAUAGUCCGGCCCUCCAACGGUCUGAGGGACAGUGAACUGGUCCUCUGUUUAAAAAGUUUGAGGACCCCUAUUAACUAUAGUAUGGGAGGACACCUCUGACCUUGAAAUACUGUAUGACAAACUUUCCUUUGAGGUAAGGCUUAGGCUAGUAGUUCUCAGACUGUAAACUGGUUUUUAUUUACAGAAUCCUUGAUUUAGUAGGUCUGGAAUAGCAUGUGAGAAUUUGCAUUUUUAAGUUCCCAGAUAACGUUGUUGCUAUUGGUCAGGGGUUGAAUUUUGAAAACCACUGGUCUGAUGUAAUGAUAAAUUAAAGAGUUUUGAGCCCACCACUGCAAAUAAAGGGAGAUCAUAGGGUUUGUGUAAACUGUAAAGAAAAGAGGUGGGGUAGUCUGUUACAUAUUACCUAGCAACUAGGGGGUGAUCUAUGAAAUUGCAUAUUGCCUCCUAUAGAUCAUCAGGGAAUGCCCAGAAGUCUUAGGAAAUAAGGAGAGUGCAGGUGAGGUCAUGCUUAUCCAAGAGGAGUUGUAUUGCUGAUUGGGGCACAACUGGGACAGGAGCAAAGUUAAACUUAGCCACCUAUCCCCCUUAAAGGACCCUUUCUUUCUAAUACCUCUCCCCCUAACCUUUAAAUGACAAAUGGCUAAAGAAAUGAACAGAGUUGGGGCAGUGCCUGUGGCUCAAGGAGUAGGGCGCCGGUCCCAUAUGCCAGAGGUGGCAGGUUCAAACCUAGCCCCGGCCAAAAAACACAAAACAAAACAAAGAAAUGAACAGAGUUAUCAGAUACUUCUAAAGUGAAAAAUAAUGCAGGAUGUAAAGGGAGGAGUUUUUGAGUUAUUAAGAGUAGAAUUUUAGGCACCUUAUCAGACAAUUGUGUUAAUACUUCUAGUACGUGUGCCCAAUUUGCAAGCCCAUCAUGUUAGACUGCCUUUUAAUGACACCUGAGGCUGCUGAGCCUUUGGCCUUUUGGGAGAUCUCACCCAGGCACUGAGCUGAUGGCCCUGAGAGUCUACAGCUGUAGGUGAUAUUUUCUAGAUUAGAUACUGGCUGCUUAGAUGUAGCUCACAGAUAUGAUGAACAUUCACUAGAGAGAGAGGGCAGAAGGCUCACUGGACUUUGGGAACAAGUGUCACCUGAUCUCUUGGUACCUCAGCACUGGAGAAAGGUAGAACCUGGUCACCUAAAGAUCUCCUCAAUAAGUGAUUCCUCCCUGUGUCUUUUUCUUCUCUACUGAAAGCACAUGCAUGUCUUCCCUAUCCUGGACUCUCCAUGUGAAUAAAAGGAACAGAAAUCUGUCUGCUUGAUUUCUUUUAGGUUCGGGGUCAUAGUUCUGAAUUCAGAAACUUGCUACCUAUUUUGAUGUUAGCCCUGGCAACCAAGUGAACAUGCUUAUCUUUGGCCCAGAAUUAAUGUAGUUAAAGAUUUCUUGGUAGUGGUAGUGGAGAACUUUCACCACAAUUUUCUUUUGGUUCUUUGUGAGAGAAUCAGAUACAGCAAAGUGUUCUUGGGGGAAAUUAAGUGUAGAGUAGUGGAGCAGGAACCCAAUACAAAGCUCCUUUGACUCAGCAUUUCUGUUUAUUUGUUUAUUUUUAUUAUUUUUUUGAGACAGAGUGUUACUCUGUUGCCCAGGCUAGACUGCCAUGGCAUUAGCUUAGCUCACAGGAAGACUCCUGGGCUCAAGUGAUCCUUCCGACUCAGCCUCCUGAGUAGCUGGGUCUACAGGCACCAUCCACAAUGCCUAGCUAAUUUUUCCAUUUUUAGUGGAGACAGGGUCUCACUCUUGCUCAGGCUGGUCUCCAACUUCUGGGCUCAAGUGAUCCUUCCACCUUAGCCUCCUACAGUGCUAGGAGUCACCACACUUAGCCAGCCUUUCUGUUUAUUAAUUACAAAGUCGAAAACCAGGAAGGUGUUGAAUGAGUUUGCUUUGGGUCAUGUAAAGUUUUAGUAACAGACUAGAGAUCAUGUUUUUUGGUCUUAACCCAGAGCUUUUCCAUUCCAUAAUUCCCCUUACUGAUUUUUUACCUGCUGAUGGCUCUAAGCCUUGUGUCAGAAAGACUUUAAUGUGCCUUGUGACAAAUAUGCAGAAAAUAAGGAUGAGAGAGACUGGACAAAGAAAAAGGUAGAAUAUAAAAAAUAAGGUGAAGCCAGAAACUAAGCAUUUCAAACGUAUAGUGUGAGGAGUGGCACACUUUCUGGAAAUGAGUUACAAAUUCACGUGCAAACUUAUGAGCUGUCAUGCAAAGAGGAAAAAGUGAAUAUGUCUUUAAAAAUUAUACAUACACCUGUAUGAUGUAGUCCUUUUACACCUAUGUAUUUACUCAAGAGAAAUGAAAGCAUACAGAGACUUGUACAUAAAUGCUCAUAGAAGUUUUAUUUGUAACAACUCUAAACUAGACACAACACAAAUUUGCAUCAGCAGGGGAAUAGAUAAACAAAUUGUGGUAUACCCAUACAAUAGAGUAUCACUCAGAUAUUAAAAAGAAUCAACUGUUACACACACCACAACAUGGAUGAAUCUCAAAGUAAUUAUGCUGAAUGAAAGAAUUCAGACUAAAGAAAGUACAUAUUUUAUGAUUUCCAUUAUAUAAAAUUUUAGGAAAGCCAAACUCAUCAGUAGUGAUGGAAAGCAGAUCAGAGGAAUGAAGAAUGGAGUGAGAGGUGGAAGGGAGAAAUUAUAAUGGGACAUGAGGAGACUUUUGAGGGGUGGACAUGUUCAUUUCAUGAUCGUGCUGAUAGUUUGACAUUGUAGGUGUAUGUCAAAACUUACCAAUUGUACACUUACAUAUAUGCUAUUUAUUAAUAUUACACCUCCAUAAAAUUGUGAGAAAAAAAGUUAUUGCUUACGUGACAAGAAAAGCACAAUGAUUCUGUCACUGAUAUGUGAGAGAAAAUUUCCCUUUGAGUUUCAUAGUGUUGCUUCUUGUAAUCCUCCUCAUUGUAAUCCAAUGGCAGGAUGCUAAAACACCCUUUAACAAGACAGUUCUAUGAAGGAUGAUCCAGUAGAAAUAAGUAGAACGUGGAAACUUUUAAGUAUUUUAAGAGUGCUUCCAAUAUAUAAACAAUUACAUGCCCAUAAAAUAAAAAAAACACAAAUAUAAUCUAGCAAGGGGGAAGAGUGAGAAGGGAGGAGGGGUGGGCACUUGGUGGCAAGAGGGAGGGCAAUGGGCCGGAUGUCACCUAAUGUGUACAAUGCACGGGUAUUCAGCACGCCCCAGGCGUGAAGGGCUCUUCCUGCGUGAAGGGCUCUUCUACAACUUUUACCUUGCAAUUGAGAACAAUGUAAACUAAAAAAGUUGUACCUGCAUAUUCAUUUGAAAUAAAAAAAAGUGCUGCUCUCCGUUGGUCUGCUUUAGGCUGGGGUUAGUAUUUUAGAUUAUCAGAGGAAAAGCUGUUUUGCCCAUCCUUUUGGCAACCCUUUCAAAACGCUGGUCCUCUCAGCUGAAGUUUUGGUAAGUACUGAAGGACAGCAGUUCUGAGAUUUAAUCAUGGACAAAAUGAAUAUAGGGAAGGCCAUUCUGUCCCUCUUGCGGGUGUAGAUGGGGCGAGUAACACUUUUGUCUCUUCAUUUUAGCAUUUCAAGUAGGUCCUUACUUUGCAUUACUUUCUGACAGUUGCAGGGAGG
Molecule: long non-coding RNA, 7043 nt
Organism: Nycticebus coucang (slow loris)
Lineage: Eukaryota; Metazoa; Chordata; Mammalia; Primates; Lorisidae
Exons: 4
Source: RefSeq, a predicted model, not a curated record